This 45-nucleotide non-coding RNA is filed under the name Schistosoma haematobium. Lineage: Eukaryota; Metazoa; Platyhelminthes; Trematoda; Strigeidida; Schistosomatidae. The record is from RNAcentral.
AUUCAGCUGACAAGUCCCAAGUAGGACGAAACGUGCGUCUUGUAU